Molecule: long non-coding RNA, 1221 nt
Organism: Juglans regia (Persian walnut)
Lineage: Eukaryota; Viridiplantae; Streptophyta; Magnoliopsida; Fagales; Juglandaceae
Exons: 4
Source: RefSeq, a predicted model, not a curated record
CUUUUACAAAGAAACAAGCAGAUCUUUUGUUCCCCCAGAUUUUGCCGAAGACUUUCCAGUUGCAAUGCAGAUAUCCCACAAAUCCAGUUUGAUCUACGUGAUCACCAAGCUUCGGCUAUUAUUUGUUUAUGACUUGGAGACCGCUACUGCAAUUUAUAGAAAUAGAAGCUGUCCAGAUCCAAUAUUUUUGGCAGCAGCUUCACCAGUGGGAGGUUUUUUAUGCAAUCAAUAGGCAUGGACAGGUGUUAUUGGCUACUGUAAAUGAUCAUACAAUUGUACCAUUUGUCGUGGCCAGCUUGCUGUCAAUCUUGCCAAAAGAGGGAAUCUACCUGGAGCCGAGCAGGUUGUCCAACGUUUCCAAGAACUAUUUUCCCAAACAAAGUACAAAGAAGCUGCAGAACUUGCCGCCGAGUCCCCCCAAGGACUCCUCCGAACACCGGACACAGUUGCCAAAUUCCAGGUUUUACAUGUUGAUUCUCCAAUCAAACACAUCUUACCUUUCAAAAUUUUUUUCCAAUCAAACACAUUUCGUUGGCUACUAAUAUUUCAUUGCUUCAACGUUCUUCAUCCAUGUCAAGUUGUCUCCAUUUGAUUUCUGGCCAUUCAGGAUCUCUGUAAGCACUGGUUGUAUUGUCCUUCUCUCUCCUUACUAUCUCUGUUGUCCAGUUUGACAUUCAUUGUGUAUCUGGAUCUUUCUUUUGCUGGAACUGAAUGUUGCUACAUAAGAUUGUUCCUGUUAAAAUAACGUAGGAUUGGUCCUGUUUCUUGAGGGCGCUUAGUCAUGCAAUUUUUGGUAGUUACUGAAUAAGACAUACUGUAGGAGCAAACAUCUAUUUUGCAUGUUACUUGUUUGCAAAUAUGUGAACGAGCAGGUAAAAACAAAUUCCCCUAAUCAGCCGUAGUUACAUGAAAGAUACUAUUUGAAUUGAGCUCGGGUGAAAUCUUGGUAUCUGCCAAGAGUUUUUUGUUCAUGUUUCCUUCCUGAAUGGAACAUUUCUUGUAAGAGCCUUGGCAUAUAAAGUUGGUAUCUUGCUCUGUUUUUGAGUGUUCCUGUCCAGGCUGGGCAGACGCCACCUCUGUUGCAGUAUUUCGGGACACUUAUGACAAAAGGAAAGCUCAAUUCUUUUGAGUCGUUGGAAUUAUCACCCCUUGUUGUGAACCAAAACAAAAACAAUCUUUUGGAGAAUUGGUUGGCAGAGGAUAAGCUGGAAUGCAGGGAGG